This 48-nucleotide non-coding RNA is filed under the name Schistosoma curassoni. Lineage: Eukaryota; Metazoa; Platyhelminthes; Trematoda; Strigeidida; Schistosomatidae. The record is from RNAcentral.
AUCCGUCUGAUGAGUUCCAAGUAGGACGAAACGUGCGUCAAACUGGAU